This 53-nucleotide transfer RNA is filed under the name Meloidogyne chitwoodi. RNAcentral describes it as "tRNA-Asn". The record is from RNAcentral. Lineage: Eukaryota; Metazoa; Nematoda; Chromadorea; Rhabditida; Meloidogynidae.
AAGUUUAUUAUAUUUUUUAGUAUUUUUUAUUGUUAAUAAGAAGGUUAUACUUA